RNAcentral lists this unclassified non-coding RNA (1937 nucleotides) under Hevea brasiliensis (rubber tree). The record is from RNAcentral. Lineage: Eukaryota; Viridiplantae; Streptophyta; Magnoliopsida; Malpighiales; Euphorbiaceae.
UCUAUCAUUGAGUCAAAGAUAUGUCGACCCAUAUCAACCAUUCCCUUUCUUCCACAGGCUGCAAUUACAGAAAGGAAUGUAAUGGAGUCAGGCGUCACCCCUUCCCUCUGCAUAUUCUCAAACCAAUUCAUGACAGAUUCAUAGUCUCCAUGCCUUGCAUAAGCAGAGAUAAUUGCGGUCCAGGCAAACUGGCUUUUUUGAGGUGCCUCAGCAAAAACUCUGAGAGACUCGCAAAUGCUCCCGCGCUUUGCAUACAUGUCAAGGAGAGCACUAGAAACAAUUGUGUUGGUGUUCAAUCCAAGUUUUACUAUUUGAGAGUGGCACCUUUGGCCAUGUUUUAAAGAUACAUCCUCAGCAGCACCAAUUGCACUCAAGACACUACCAAAUGUGUAUUCAUUGGGCUUUGAUUCCACAAAGGCAGAUAGAAAUGUGCGGAUAGCUUCUUGAGACAAUCUAUUUUGUACGAAACCAGAUAUUAAAGCAUUCCAUGUUAUGAUCUCUCUAUAGUUGAGCUCCUCAAAAACCUUUAUUGAGUCUUGCAUGAAUCCAAACUUGGCAUACAUGGUGAUGAAACUAUUACAAACACUGGAUUCUGAUAAAAAAGCACUCUUUAUACAAAACCCAUGAAUUCUCUUGCCUGAUUCCACCAAACUCCCAAUUGUUAAAGCAUGAAUUAAACCAACAAAGGUAACAUCAUUGGGAUAAACCCCAUCUGAUCUCAUCUCAUUAAAGAGAGUCACAACAUUUUCUUCAUCAAUAGAUAUCAUUGUAGUCCAUGAGACUACAUUGCGCUCGUCCAUAUUUUGGAACACUAGUUUAGCAUCUUGAGUGACAUCACACUUCGAGUAUGUCGAGAUGAGAACAUUACCAACAGAGACAUGUUUCCCAUAUCCUCUUUUUAUACUCAAACCAUGUAUCUGACUCCCAAGCUCUAAGUUUUUCUCAUGCCCACAAGCUGAAAUUGCACUAGUAAAUGAAACAUGAUCAAGUUGUAUUCCUUUUCUAACCAUUUCGAUAAAAAUCCAAAUUGCUUCCAACCCAAUUCCUUCCUGGGUAUACCCCGAUAUUAUUGCAUUCCAUGAAACCAAAUCCCUAGCUGGCAUUUCCUCAAACACUCUUCUAGCUUCCAGUAAACGUCCCCACCUUGAAUACAUAGUCACAAGCGCAUUCCCGACAAAAACUUCAGAGUCUAAUCCAACUUUCAAUAUAGAAGAAUGCAAUUGCAAUCCAAAAAGAAACUCUUCAUUCAUUGAACAGAACGCAAGAACAGUAGUAUAAGUCACAGCAUCAAAAACGACACCACUUGAAUUCAUUUUCCAAGCAAAAUUUAGAGCAUGUUCACUCCUUUGAAACCCGGAAAGCACCGUAUUCCAAGAAACAAUAUCACGAUCGGUUAAAUUUUGAAAAAUACGCAAAGCUUCAUUAAACUGUCCAGACUUGCAGUACAUAUUCAUUAGCGCAUUAGGAACCGUAAUAUGCGAACCCAAUCCAGAGGUGAUAGAAAACCCAUGGAUUUGAGACCCAAGUAAUAUGUCUCCGCUGCAAGCUUUGAGGGCCAGGGCAAUGGAAACUUCAUCGAUGCUGUUGUGAAAGCCCAGCUGAAGAUGAUUCUUGAAGAUUUCAAGCGCUUGAAAUGGGCAGUUUUUGUGUAUGUAAUCGACCAUGGACCUGUGAAUGAAGACAGCAUUUGGCUGAGGAUUUUUGUCGAACAAUUUGCGUGCAUCGUUAUAUGUACGGAUGUUUUUCAACAAACAAUACCGUUGCUUAGCAACUCUGUGGAGCGGUUUGGAAUAUCGUUGGCGGGUAAGCAUUUACAAGUUUAACGAGAAGAAAAUCUACUUGGCCUGUUCUGCUUAGGUUGUGCAUUUCUCCAUUGCCGCCACCAUUUGCUUCCUUGGCUGUUGCGGCUCACCAUGCUUUUCAUUUAAUUUUCCGUG